GAGUUUGAUUAUGGCUCAGGACAAACGCUGGCGGCGUGCCUAACACAUGCAAGUCGAGCGGGGACAUGGGAACAGCAAUGAGCCUGUGUUCCAGCGGCGGACGGGUGAGUAACGCGUGAGCAACCUGGCCUGCACAGAGGGAUAACGAGGCGAAAGUCUCCCUAACACCUCAUGAGACCACACUGUUGCAUGACAGAGGGGUCAAAGGAGCAAUCCAGUGCGGGGUGGGCUCGCGUCCGAUUAGAUAGUUGGUGAGGUAACGGCUCACCAAGUCGACGAUCGGUAGCCGACCUGAGAGGGUGAUCGGCCACAUUGGGACUGAGACACGGCCCAAACUCCUACGGGAGGCAGCAGUGGGGAAUAUUGGGCAAUGGGGGAAACCCUGACCCAGCAACGCCGCGUGAGGGAAGAAGGUUUUCGGAUCGUAAACCUCUGUCCCAGGAGAAGAGCAGAAGACG
Molecule: ribosomal RNA, 458 nt
Filed under: Clostridiales bacterium canine oral taxon 027
Lineage: Bacteria; Bacillati; Bacillota; Clostridia; Eubacteriales
Description: bacterial SSU rRNA
Rfam family: Bacterial small subunit ribosomal RNA
Source: RNAcentral